UACGAAUGGGACUAGCGUUGUUCGGAAUCACUGGGCGUAAAGCGCACGUAGGCGGAUGUGUCAGUCAGGGGUGAAAUCCCGGGGCUCAACCUCGGAACUGCCUUUGAUACAGCACGUCUCGAGUCCGGAAGAGGUGGGUGGAAUUCCUAGUGUAGAGGUGAAAUUCGUAGAUAUUAGGAAGAACACCGGUGGCGAAGGCGGCCCACUGGUCCGGUACUGACGCUGAGGUGCGAAAGCGUGGGGAGCAAACAGG
Molecule: ribosomal RNA, 253 nt
Filed under: uncultured bacterium
Lineage: Bacteria
Description: partial 16S ribosomal RNA
Rfam family: Bacterial small subunit ribosomal RNA
Source: RNAcentral